Molecule: long non-coding RNA, 178 nt
Organism: Drosophila ficusphila
Lineage: Eukaryota; Metazoa; Arthropoda; Insecta; Diptera; Drosophilidae
Exons: 2
Source: RefSeq, a predicted model, not a curated record
UAAGCACAAGGCUUUAACAUGAAGGUCUUGUUCGGAAUAUUAGCUGUCCUGGCUGUGGCUCUUUUAGGUGCCGAAGCCAGCACUCCAAGAAGGAUUGGUGAACCUGAAAAUGAUAUAUUUAAAUCAAUGUUUGGGAACUAGAACUAUUCCUCUCAAAUAAAAAUUCUUAAGCAAGAAA